UACAGAGGGUGCAAGCGUUGUUCGGAAUUACUGGGCGUAAAGGGCUCGUAGGCGGCCAACUAAGUCGGAUGUGAAAUCCCCAGGCUCAACCUGGGAACUGCAUCCGAUACUGGAUGGCUUGAAUUCGGGAGAGGGAUGCAGAAUUCCAGGUGUAGCGGUGAAAUGCGUAGAUAUCUGGAGGAAUACCGGUGGCGAAGGCGGCAUCCUGGACCGACAUUGACGCUGAGGAGCGAAAGCCAGGGGAGCAAACGGG
Molecule: ribosomal RNA, 253 nt
Filed under: uncultured bacterium
Lineage: Bacteria
Description: partial 16S ribosomal RNA
Rfam family: Bacterial small subunit ribosomal RNA
Source: RNAcentral